Molecule: long non-coding RNA, 635 nt
Organism: Brassica oleracea var. oleracea
Lineage: Eukaryota; Viridiplantae; Streptophyta; Magnoliopsida; Brassicales; Brassicaceae
Exons: 2
Source: RefSeq, a predicted model, not a curated record
AUAUCUUCCAUAAACGAGAUUGGAGUAGCAGAAGCAAUAAAUAUAGUCACAUCAAUUGCUUUCUUGAUAGCUUUUGCUAUACUCAGGAUUCAACCAGUAAACGACAUAGCCUACUUCCCUAAAUGGUAUCUCAAGGGCCUAAGAACUAGCUCCAUACAAACUGGUGGCUUUGGAAGCAAGUUCAUCAACUUGGACUUCAUGUCCUAUGUUUGAUUCCUCAACUGGAUGCCUGAAGCACUUCAAAUGCCAGAACCAGAGCUCGUCAGAUCUCGAUUAUGUUGUCUACUUGAGGAUCUACGUACUCGGGUUCAAGAAUUUUUCUCCAUAGCUUGCGUUGCUUUUACAACAAUGGUGCAUGUUAAUUGGAAAAACAAGGGAUUGGAUGGAUUAAAACACUCUAAUAUAAGCUACAGUGAUAUUGAUAAGCUUUCAUUGUCAAAUAUACCAAAUGGAUCAGACAUGUGAGCUAUACAUUUCCCAGAGUUUGGUUCUUUUUCUUCUUUGUUCCAUUGGUGUAAUGGUUAUUCAUUUUCCUAUAGAUUUUGGGUGCAUCUCUGUAUGGCUUAUGCAAUCACCUUCUGGACAUGCUUAAUGCUGAAAAGAGAGUAUUAGAAUAUAGCACGCUUCAGUUUCUU